AACUCGCCUACAUGAAGUCGGAAUCGCUAGUAAUCGCGGAUCAGCAUGCCGCGGUGAAUACGUUCCCGGGCCUUGUACACACCGCCCGUCACACCAUGAGAGUUUGUAACACCCAAAGCCGGUGGGGUAACCUUUUGGAGCCAGCCGUCUAAGGUGGGACAGAUGAUUGGGGUGAAGUCGUAACAAGGUAUC
This 192-nucleotide ribosomal RNA is filed under the name uncultured bacterium. RNAcentral's name for it is "partial 16S ribosomal RNA". It matches the Rfam family "Bacterial small subunit ribosomal RNA", at positions 1309 to 1500 of the family's 1533-position model. The record is from RNAcentral.